ACAUUCACUUUAAAUAGGGCACCGUCUAAAUCCGUUGAGAAGACACCGUAUGAAUUAUGGUUUGGGAAGAAACCUAAGCUGUCGUUUCUAAAAGUUUGGGGGUGCUAUGCUUAUGUCAAGAAACUUCAACCUGAAAAGCUCGAACCCAAGUCGGAAAAAUGCGUCUUCAUAGGAUACCCUAAGGAAACCAUUGGGUAUACCUUCUACCUUAGAUCUGAAGGCAAGAUCUUUGUUGCCAAGAACGGAUCCUUUCUGGAAAAAGAGUUUCUCUCGAAAGGAGUAAGUGGGAGGAAAGUAGAACUUGAUGAAGUACUACCUCUUGAAGCGGAAAGUAGUGCAACUCAGGAAAAUGUUCCUGUGGUGCCUACAUCCACUGAAGAGGAAAUUAAU
RNAcentral lists this ribosomal RNA (390 nucleotides) under Triticum aestivum (bread wheat). RNAcentral's name for it is "partial small subunit ribosomal RNA". Lineage: Eukaryota; Viridiplantae; Streptophyta; Magnoliopsida; Poales; Poaceae. The record is from RNAcentral.